RNAcentral lists this unclassified non-coding RNA (5262 nucleotides) under Apis dorsata (giant honeybee). RNAcentral's name for it is "filamin-A, transcript variant X3". Lineage: Eukaryota; Metazoa; Arthropoda; Insecta; Hymenoptera; Apidae. The record is from RNAcentral.
UUUUCAUGUUAGUUCAGUGAGCUCACGCGCGUCGAACAACAAUCAUCGACAAUAGUACGAUUCAAAAAUCUUCGACGUCCAAAAAUGGCGUUUCUUGGAUAGUAUAUUGUCACAUUAAAAUUCGUUCUAGUUUUGUUAACAAGUGAAACAGGUCUUUGAAAGGAAAACGUGUAAACUAAGGAAUAUUGGAGAAACGAUUUCUUGAGAGUCCAUAUCCAGGAGAUUGCUUCGCAAAACAACGACAAACAAAAAUGGAAUCGACCGAACAAUUACGACCGGAAGAAUUGGUGGGAUUAGUAGCCCGAUCUGCUGAAGGUACAGCAGCGAAAGGAAUGCCUAUCAAAGGACACGAAGAUCUAUGGGUGGAAAUUCAAGCAAAUACUUUCCGAAAUUGGGUGAACGAGCACUUAAAACACGCGGUUGAUACUGCAAACAGUCCUGUGAUCGAUCUUGUUGAAGAUUUUCGGGACGGCACACGACUUUGUGCUCUCGUUGAAGUACUUACUAAACGACGUUUACCUCGAUGGAAUCCCAGACCUGCAAAUCAACAUCAUCAUUUAGAAAAUGUUUCAACAGCCCUUCAAGCUAUCGAAGCUGACGGUGUAAAACUUGUUAAUAUCGGUAAUGUAGACAUUGUCAAUGGUAAUUUGAAACUAAUUCUUGGACUGAUAUGGUCACUCAUUGUAAGGUACCAAAUAGGCAAGUCCAAGUUCCCUCCAAGGAAACUUAUGCUGGCAUGGCUCAAGACAGUUUUGCCAGAAUGUAGAGUCAACAAUUUCACCACAGAUUGGAAUUCUGGUGUAUAUCUGAGUGCCUUACUUGAUUAUUGUCAACCAGGACUAUUUCCUCAUUGGCGACGGCUUGAUCCAAAUGAUAGCGUUUACAAUUGCCGAAAAGCUAUGGAGAUUUCAAAACGUGAAUUCGAUAUACCUAUGGUAUUGGAACCAGAAUAUCUUGCAUCGCCAUAUUUGGAUGAAUUAUCGGGAAUGACCUACUUAUCGUACUUCAUGAAGGAAGGUUCACCAGGUUUUCAUGCAACAUUACGAUGGGUUAAUUCUCAAUUAUCUCAUCAUCCAGUACAAAACUUUACAACUGACUGGAAUGAUGGUAGAACUUUAUGUAGUAUUGUCAGGAAUUUAGGAGGAUCUGCUCCUGCUUAUGAUAAAAUCGAUAUCGAUCCUUCCACGUGGGAACAUAAUAUACAAAUGGGAAUUGAUGGAGGAAAAAAAUUAGGUGUGGAACCUAUUCUUAAAGCAAAAGAUAUGGCAGAUCAAAAUGUAGAACAUUUAGGCGUUAUGGCAUAUGCAGCAUGCUUUCAAUGGGUAAAGCCUCGCCCUCAAACAAGCAAACAAAUUGUUGUUCAUAUUGAUAGCACUUCUGCAAGAGUGCAACAGCCGGCGCAUUUCAAAUUAGAAAUUCUUACCAAAGAAGUAAAUACGAGAGAAGUGCGUGGUGAGAUAAUAAGUCCGAGCGGACGGAUAGAAUGUAGAUUAACAUGGAAUGGAGUUCAUGGAAAAGGAAUUUUUAUACCUAUAGAAGUUGGAAUGCAUAAGUUAAUGGUAUAUAAUGACGGAGAAUUAGUAGAUGGAUGUCCCUAUUAUUUCAGAGUUUUACCUCCCUUAACCAAAAUCAAAUCACCUGGUAUGGAUCCUUGUGCUAUAGGAUCUAUUGUUGAAGUUCUAGUCAAUAGUUACGGAACUAGUCAUGAUGGCAUUGAUGUUACUGCGUGGUCACCUACUGGAAGAUCAUUAUUGUGUCCUGUUAAAGAAAACGAUGGAGUACACACUGCAACCUUUCAACCUGAUGAGACGGGAGAAUGGAGUAUUGCAAUAACUCAUAAAGGAAAUCAUAUACAAGGUGGCCCAUUUACAUGUUUUGUAUUUGAUCCUAAUGGAAUAAAGCUAUUGGAAACGGAGGGUGCUUUACCUGGACAACCAUUUUCAUUUACUGUCGAUGCAACAGGAACUGGAGGUCUUGGCGACGUAAUAAUAGAUUUAGUUCAUGAUAAACAAUCAAUUCCUUUCAGAAUGGAAAAUUUUAGACAUAUGCAAUAUCGAGUUUCAUUUAUUCCAUCAGAAUCUGGAAAGUACAGAAUUUAUAUAUACUUUAAUGGUUCUGAUGUUAGAGGUUCUCCAUUUUCUAUUCGAGUGGGAACUCAAAAAGGAUCAAAAAGAUCAAAAGAAUCUAAUUUUGAUAAAACGAAAUUAUCUUCGCUAGAAAGGCGAAUGAAUGAUUUAAAUGUUUCAAUGGAAACCGAUCGAUCAAGUCCUCUCCUCAAGCAGAAAUCUUAUUCUCCCACUACAUAUAAAUUAUCUAGCCCAACUCAACAUAUACGUGAAUAUUCUCCUGUACAUCAAACUACCUCCACUUAUAAAACAUCGAAUUAUUUGGAAAAUUCUAAUUCGACGUAUCAUACAUCAACUUCGAUCAAUCGAUCUCCAAGUCACAGUAAUAGUCCAAUUUCACGAAAUCUUCAUAGUCCAUCUAUGGUUAAAGAUACGAAAGAAAUUUAUUCUACUACAUACAAUCAUUCAAGAUCUCCAACUGCACAAAGUCCUAAUUUUAUGAAAGAAUCAAAAGAUAUUUAUACAUCCAAUACAACAAGUACAUCUCGAUCUCCAAAUCCAAGUCCAAUACAUGGCUCAAGAUAUUCACCAGUUAUUAAAGAAUCACGUGAAAUUUAUAGUUCGGGAUCCUUAAAGAGAUCUCGGUCUCCAGAUCGAAAUUCAAUGGCAUAUCGAAGCGCGACACAAAGUCCUGUCAAUAGAAGUUUCAGUCCAAGAAACAAUGACAGAGAUAAUAGUUAUAAUAGAAAGGAUUUUACAGAUAAUGGAACAGUUGAUACCAGUAGUAAUGUUAGAGUAUCUUCGAUGGUUGGUGGAAGAUCUAGAAGAGAUUCAUGGGAUGCUAUAGAAAAAACAAAAUCUUUACUAUCUUAUGGUAGUUUAGAAUCUCUUGCUAAUUUAACUAAUAAUUCUGCUAUGGCUGAAAAUAAUUCAAAUUAUUUUAAUAACAAUUAUAAACAAGAUUAUAGUUCAAAAAACAUUUUGCAAACCUAUAAUAGUUCUUCCAAUUUGAUUCAGAAAGUUUCAACCUCAGAAUAUAACACAUCUCAAAAAUAUAACAAUGAAAAUCACAAUAUUCGCACGCAAACGCAUGGAAUUCUUAAAAAUAAAAAUAAUAAUUAUUAUAAAAACGUGGAUAUCACAGAUGGAGUUCAUGAACGGUAUAUUAAUAAUGUAAUUUCUAGUUCAUCAACACAAGAUAGGAAUUACGAAUUUGUAACUGGAAGUGCAUUAGAGACAUUACCGAUUCAUAAACCGACUACCUUUACAAUCGAUCAAAGUAUAGAUACGAAUAAAGUCACUGUUAAUGUUUGUGGUCCAAGUGGUAAAAUAAUUCCAGUACAAAAAUCAACUCUUCGAGGUUUAACGUAUUCAAUAACCGCUCAAGAAGUUGGAGAACAUAUUAUUCAAAUUUUAGUAAAUGGCCAACAUAUUCAAGGCUCACCUUUCAGAUCGCAAGCAUAUAAUGCUCAUGCUAUUCAAGUUGGGAACAUUCCGAAUGGCGUUGUCAAUCAACCAGUAGAAUUUGAAAUUGAUGGAUCCAAUGCCGGAUCUGGAAAUCUAGAAAUCCUUGUAAAUGGUGGUCAUGUAACUAGUUUUGUUAGAGCAUUGGGUAGUCAACGAUUUCUGGCAUCAUUUGUACCUCAUGAAGCUGUUGUACAUCUCGUAGAAAUGACGUUCAAUGGUGAAGUUGUUCCUGGGUCACCCUGGCGUGUGGGCAUUAUGCCAGUACCAAAAAUGUCAGUGAUUGGAGAUUCCAUAAGAUUGGUCCCUGCUGGUAGUCCAGCAUUUUUUGAACUUUCUGCUCUUGGCUUUAAUAGUAAUGAAAUUGAUGUACAAAUUAUAACACCUUCUAAAAGAUAUAUACAGGCAAAAAUUGAUGAAGUAUCAGGAAGACCUGGAGAAUUUCGUGUUGAAUUCACUCCAAUAGAAGUAGGUAGUCAUCUUGUAGAAGUAACCAUUGCUGGACAAAAGCUACCGGCAGGACCACUAGUUGCUAAAGUGUACAACAGCAGUUUGAUUCAAGUUACUGAUGUCCCCAGUGCUGUUGUAGGACAUGCCUGUCAAUUUAGAGUUGAUGCUAGUGCUGCUGGUGAAGGACAACUUGAAAUUUCUAUAAAUGAAGGAGAAGUACCAAAUCAUGUUCAAGUAGUUGGAGGAGGACGUUGUCUUGUUUCUUUUACACCAGAAACUGCUAAAUCACAUUAUAUUGAUAUAAAAUUUAAUGGAGAAGCUGUGAAAGGAUGUCCCUUUAUUUGUAAUGUAUCUGAUACUAGUAGAGUAACAUUAAGUUUAAAUCAUCUGGAAUUAAUUCCAGUGGAUCAACCUGCUAGUUUUCAUAUGGGUGUUGAUGGUAGUGGUAAUGCAGAACUUGCAGUUUCUGUAAAAGGACCAAAUUGUGAAUUGCCUGUCAAGGUAACUGGAGAUAUAAAAAAUGGUUUUACUGCAGAAUUUAUUCCAAGAGAUGUUGGUGUUCAUUCAAUUAGUGUUGAAUAUAAUGGACAUGCUGUAAAUGGUACACCAUUUUUAGCAAAGGCAUUUAAUGCAGAUAAAGUAUUAAUUGGUCCUGUAGCUAGAGGUAGUGUUGGCCAACCAACACAUUUUACUGUUGAUGCAAGUCAAGCUGGUGAAGGAAAUUUAGAAAUUACGAUAUCGGCUCGUAAUCAAAACAUACCUACUCAAGUCACACCACAAGGAAAUGCUCGAUUUUCAGUUAGUUUUGUUCCAUUUGAAGCGUGCGAGCAUAUAAUUAAUAUAGCCUUCAAUAAACGAACAGUACCAGGUUGCCCAAUUAUAACUCGAGUAGGUGGUGAUAGUCAUGUAACAGUGAGUGGGCAGGCAUUAAGCAGUGCUGGAUUAGGACGACAAAGUUAUCUUACUAUCAGUAAUGUUGCCGGUAGCUUGGAAGAUUUAGAAGUUAAUGUUGAAGGUCGGCCAGCUUUCAGACUACGACAUUACUAGACUUCUCAAACACAACUAAUUUCAUUUUAAUUAAUUAAUGGAUUAUAUAACUGGUGGACCCAAUGGACAGGCCGUACCCGCUCAAGUCACUGACAACAAAGAUACAACAUGCAGUGUAGCAUUUACACCAAGAAUAGUUGGAGAACAUAGAAUUUCAGUAAGUCAUCGGAAUGUUCCCGUGAUUGGCAGUCCAUUUAGCUGCAAAGUAUAUGAUGUGACUGCUAUUAAAGUGAAG